CCAAUAGGCAGAGGUGCCAAAAUCUGAUCAAAAUAACAAUAGCUAGGUUAAAACCGAGAGAGAGUCGCUUUACCCUAUAUAAACACUUAUUCGGUCAUAUCUCUAAUCAAUGUGAGUUUCUCGGCCUUGUGAGAGUACUUACGGGGACGUGAGAGUCUCUGGCGCUACGCUUAGCAUCGGUGGCGGAGAAGACGGUGUAAACAAGAACAAAGGUGCCAACAAUCUCAGCACCGAGACCAUCACCCUUGGUGUAACCAGGGGCAACAAAGUUAGCACCACCUCCUAGAGUUCCGUACUUGGUCUUUCCCUCAAAACCUUUCACCACGCCGGCGCCAACAAUAGCACCCAGGCACUGCAUCACGAUGUAGAAAAUAGCCCUUGUCAAGGACAACUUCCUCGCCAAAAACAGCCCAAAAGUCACAGCCGGGUUUAUGUGACCUCCUGUAUCACACACACAUCAAAACACCCGGUUUAGAAACCAGAAAAAUUUAGUUCGCAAAUUAAAAUGAUUUGUGUGCAAUUCAAUUUAAGUACAAGAGCACAAACUUACAGUUAACAUAGACUAACAAAAAUUUAGUUCACAAAUUAAAAUAUUUCUGUACAAAGUUUCAUUUAGCAAAGACCAUGAAAAAUUUGAUCACAUUAAAAUAUUUCUGUGUAUAAAGUUUCAUUAAAAAUUUAGUUCACAACAUAAAAUAGUUUCUCUGCAAAUUAAUCAUAAUCUACCAAGAAAAAUUUAGUUCACAACUUAAAACAAAUAAUUUGUUGUGUGAAGUUUGUGAAAUUUUGACCUGAGAUUCCGGCGGUGCAGUAAACGAGAGCGAAGAUCAUGCCACCGAAAGCCCAAGCAAUCCCUUGAAUACCAACAGUUUUGCACUUGCUAUCGGCACCGCUGACACCCAUGACGGUCAAGACGGUGAUGUAGAGGAACAGAAAGGUGGCAACAAACUCGGCAAUACCGGCUCUGUAGAAGGACCAUGAGGUGAGCUCCGACGGCUCAAACAGCGGCGCAGGUGGUGGCUCCUGGUAGUCCUUGCCAUCAUCUUGGCUCUGAG
This 1055-nucleotide long non-coding RNA is filed under the name Lotus japonicus. RNAcentral describes it as "long non-coding RNA (LJAP_LNC001456)". The record is from RNAcentral. Lineage: Eukaryota; Viridiplantae; Streptophyta; Magnoliopsida; Fabales; Fabaceae.